RNAcentral lists this long non-coding RNA (432 nucleotides) under Oryza sativa (Asian cultivated rice). Its description in RNAcentral is "long non-coding RNA (OSAT_LNC000233)". Lineage: Eukaryota; Viridiplantae; Streptophyta; Magnoliopsida; Poales; Poaceae. The record is from RNAcentral.
UACAUCAAAUCACCCAAAAUUUAUGAACUUUGAAAGGGUUGUGCAGUUCAUACAAUUCUGAUAUGCCUUCGAUUUUUCAGUUGUGCUAUGUGGAUCCUGGAAUUGCUAGUUCAGAAGAAAUGGAGCAGCUGAAAACUAUUGAUAGUAUCCUGGUCAGGUUCUAGAAUGCUGGUGCGUACAAUGAGUAAUCGUGUCUUACUUUGUCACAUGCUAAUAGAGGAAAAUGAUACAGUUUGCUCGCUCAUGUAUAUGAAAAGUCAAAAGAUAAUCAAUGAUGUACUUGAUGAAAAGUUUAUGCAAAAUAACAAUGGAUUUACAUACCUGUAUUUUGUUGCUUCAUACGAAUUAGUAAUUUUGGCCUACUUAUUGACAUUCAACAUUGGUCGUCUCAAUUGUCUUUAUCUAAUUAUGCAAACAUUUGUUAAAUGGAGG